Molecule: ribosomal RNA, 214 nt
Filed under: uncultured Clostridium sp.
Lineage: Bacteria; Bacillati; Bacillota; Clostridia; Eubacteriales; Clostridiaceae
Description: partial 16S ribosomal RNA
Rfam family: Bacterial small subunit ribosomal RNA
Source: RNAcentral
GUCGAGCGGAGAUAUAAAAAGGAAGCCCUUCGGGGUGGAAUUUUUACAUCUUAGCGGCGGACGGGUGCGUAACACGUGGGUAACCUGCCCCUAUCACUGGGAUAACACACUGAAAAGUGUGCUAAUACCAGAUAAUAUAAGCUUUUGGCAUCAUUAGCUUAUCAAAGAAUUUCGGAUAGGGAUGGGCCCGCGUCUGAUUAGCUAGUUGGUGAGG